RNAcentral lists this ribosomal RNA (503 nucleotides) under uncultured beta proteobacterium. RNAcentral's name for it is "bacterial SSU rRNA". It matches the Rfam family "Bacterial small subunit ribosomal RNA", at positions 998 to 1503 of the family's 1533-position model. The record is from RNAcentral. Lineage: Bacteria; Pseudomonadati; Pseudomonadota; Betaproteobacteria.
CCUCGAAGNACGGGGGGUGCCCGAAAGGGAGCCUGAACACAGGUGCUGCAUGGCUGUCGUCAGCUCGUGUCGUGAGAUGUUGGGUUAAGUCCCGCAACGAGCGCAACCCUUGUCAUUAGUUGCUACGAAAGGGCACUCUAAUGAGACUGCCGGUGACAAACCGGAGGAAGGUGGGGAUGACGUCAAGUCCUCAUGGCCCUUAUGGGUAGGGCUUCACACGUCAUACAAUGGUACAUACAGAGGGCCGCCAACCCGCGAGGGGGAGCUAAUCCCAGAAAGUGUAUCGUAGUCCGGAUUGUAGUCUGCAACUCGACUACAUGAAGUUGGAAUCGCUAGUAAUGGCAGAUCAGCACGCUGCCGUGAAUACGUUCCCGGGCCUUGUACACACCGCCCGUCACAUCACGAAAGUGGGUUGUACUAGAAGCCUGCAGGCCGACCCGCAAGGGGGGCAGCGGUCCAAGGUAUGACUCAUGAUUGGGGUGAAGUCGUAACAAGGUAACCGU